RNAcentral lists this ribosomal RNA (705 nucleotides) under Lutibacter sp. Its description in RNAcentral is "bacterial SSU rRNA". It matches the Rfam family "Bacterial small subunit ribosomal RNA", at positions 28 to 724 of the family's 1533-position model. The record is from RNAcentral. Lineage: Bacteria; Pseudomonadati; Bacteroidota; Flavobacteriia; Flavobacteriales; Flavobacteriaceae.
GAUGAAUGCUAGCGGCAGGCUUAACACAUGCAAGUCGAGGGGUAACAGGGAGAAGCUUGCUUUUCCGCUGACGACCGGCGCACGGGUGCGUAACGCGUAUAGAACCUACCUUUUACAGGAGAAUACCCCAGAGAAAUUUGGAAUAAUGCUCCAUAGUAUUAUUGAGUGGCAUCAUUUGAUAAUUAAACAUUUAUGGGUAAAAGAUGGCUAUGCGUUCUAUUAGCUAGAUGCUAAGGUAACGGCUUACCAUGGCAACGAUAGAUAGGGGUCCUGAGAGGGAGAUCCCCCACACUGGUACUGAGACACGGACCAGACUCAUACGGGAGGCAGCAGUGAGGAAUAUUGGACAAUGGAGGCAACUCUGAUCCAGCCAUGCCGCGUGCAGGAAGACGGCCCUAUGGGUUGUAAACUGCUUUUAUAUAGGAAGAAACCUUUCCACGUGUGGAAAGCUGACGGUACUGUAUGAAUAAGCACCGGCUAACUCCGUGCCAGCAGCCGCGGUAAUACGGAGGGUGCAAGCGUUAUCCGGAAUCAUUGGGUUUAAAGGGUCCGUAGGCGGACUAAUAAGUCAGGGGUGAAAUACCACAGCUCAACUGUGGAACUGCCUUUGAUACUGUUAGUCUUGAGUUAUAUGGAAGUAGAUAGAAUGUGUAGUGUAGCGGUGAAAUGCUUAGAGAUUACACAGAAUACCGAUUGCGAAGGCAG